CACUCCACGACAAUUCUUGUUAGUCUUUUCAUUAUUGUUCGUCACUUCUUUUCCCCUUUUUCUUUUUAAAACUACACAGUUUAUGAGAUUAUAUUGAAUAUGUUGUUAUUGUUAUUAUUACCUAGCUUGAUUUGAUGUGAAGGAUAUAUAGGUAAUAUGUAAGAGUAUAUCUAUAUUAGUAGGUACAUAUUGAUUUGUUGUCCAUUCUAGUAGUCACAGUGUUACUAUUGUUUCUUG
This 237-nucleotide long non-coding RNA is filed under the name Solanum tuberosum (potato). Its description in RNAcentral is "long non-coding RNA (STUB_LNC011032)". The record is from RNAcentral. Lineage: Eukaryota; Viridiplantae; Streptophyta; Magnoliopsida; Solanales; Solanaceae.